Molecule: long non-coding RNA, 368 nt
Organism: Hemicordylus capensis (graceful crag lizard)
Lineage: Eukaryota; Metazoa; Chordata; Lepidosauria; Squamata; Cordylidae
Exons: 3
Source: RefSeq, a predicted model, not a curated record
GGGAAUGGAGGGAAGUAGAUGGUGGAGGCAACGAGCCUGGGAAGAGAAUACGACCUGGUUUAGACAAACAGUUCAAAUAUGCAUCUCUCACUUCAGACAGAAGCCGUCCAGUCCAACAGAGCAGGACAAGUCAAUUCUGACAGAAACAUCAGAUAUCCAUGAAGUUUCACAUUGUCAGCAAAGGGCCUUUCAACAGGUCUGACUGAGGGGGAUCUCUGCUGUUAUGAUGGAAUUCCCUCCAACGUCCAACAGAGGACAUGUUGAAAAGACUGCACUGCUCUACUAUCCAGCAGGGUAUAUACAGUGCUACCCGCCACUAGUCCUCGUACUUCCCAAAGACAGGCAUAUGAUGGUUGCUCAUUUUACUG